This 209-nucleotide ribosomal RNA is filed under the name Duttaphrynus melanostictus (Asian common toad). Its description in RNAcentral is "partial 16S ribosomal RNA". It matches the Rfam family "Bacterial large subunit ribosomal RNA", at positions 1892 to 2099 of the family's 2925-position model. The record is from RNAcentral. Lineage: Eukaryota; Metazoa; Chordata; Amphibia; Anura; Bufonidae.
ACAUUCGAUAGAUGUCAGCCUGCCAGUGACUCUGUUCACGGCCGCGGUAUCCUAACCGUGCGAAGGUAGCGUAAUCACUUGUUCUUUAUAUGUGGACUAGUAUGAACGGCAUCACGAAGGUUAUACUGUCUCCUUUUUCUAAUCAGUGAAACUAAUCUCCCCGUGCAGAAGCGAGGAUAAUAAUAUAAGACGAGAAGACCCUAUGGAGA